This 116-nucleotide ribosomal RNA is filed under the name Listeria monocytogenes. The record is from RNAcentral. Lineage: Bacteria; Bacillati; Bacillota; Bacilli; Caryophanales; Listeriaceae.
UCUGAAAGUAAGUACAAGAGGGACACACCCGUUCCCAUCCCGAACACGGUAGUUAAGCUUCUCUGCGCCAAUGGUAGUUGGGGGCUUCCCCCUGCGAGAGUAGGUCGCUGCCGGGC